AUACUUACCUGGCAGGGCAGAUACCACGAUCACAAAGGUGGUUUUCCCAGGGCGAGGCUUAUCCAUUGAACUCUGGAUGUGCUGACCCCUGCGAUUUCCCCAAAUGUGGGAAACUAGACUGCAUAAUUUGGAGUAGUGGAGGACUGUGAUUGUGUUUUCCCCUG
Molecule: small nuclear RNA, 164 nt
Organism: Nycticebus coucang (slow loris)
Lineage: Eukaryota; Metazoa; Chordata; Mammalia; Primates; Lorisidae
Product: U1 spliceosomal RNA
Exons: 1
Source: RefSeq, a predicted model, not a curated record